RNAcentral lists this long non-coding RNA (1143 nucleotides) under Coturnix japonica (Japanese quail). RNAcentral's name for it is "lncRNA (ENSCJPG00005019404.1)". The record is from RNAcentral. Lineage: Eukaryota; Metazoa; Chordata; Aves; Galliformes; Phasianidae.
AUGAUAAGUGCGGGGCCAAGUCACGUGCUGAACAUUAAUUGCACUUCCUCCGCUGCCUGCCCACAGCAAUGGGAACCCACUGGGACAUGGCACAGCGUGACCAUGAGGAACAGUGGGCAUGUAGAUGACCCCACUGCUCUGGUCCACAGUACCCAGGGAGCAUCAUCGCUCCCAGCAGAAGGGAAGCACAGCCGGGAGAAACAGAAAGGAAAACAUCUGGAAGCAAAAGCCCGCAGGCAAUGUCGUCAUGGCUUGGAAAAUCUAUUAGCGUGCAUAGAUCUCCCACGUGCGCACCUAAGGUGUAGGUACACACGCACACUGGGCUCUACACGCAACUCGUUGCAACACAACGUCGACUUUUCCUCACGGAGUUUUCUCGGGGCGCUCCGGCCCAAUGCGGCGGUCACGCUCACGGCCGCGGGUGGGGGCGACAAGGGGCACGGGGCCGCCAACGGGAGGAAACCGCGGCUCCCCGAGGCCGCCGCUCCCAUAGCACAGCGCGGAGCCCUCGGCGGACACGGGACGGGAGGCGCCGCAACCGCUCCCAUGGGAAACACGAGGGGAAAAUGGCGGGGGGGGCACCCACGCGGGAGCAGAGGCCGCCGCCCGCCCAGGUACCGCGGGCCGGGGGCAUCGGAGCGGAGCUCUCCGCCGGGACCGUGCCUCGGGGCUGCCUUACCUCGCGGAGAAGCCGGGCCGGGAAGCGGCCGUUCGCAGCCGGGCGGCGGCGCUUCCACGCAGCUGCUUGUCACCUCUCCCGCCGCGGCGGCGGCUGCGGGCGGAGGGGCGGGACAGCACGGCCCGCUCCGCCCCGGCCCGCCCCGCUCCGCACCGCCCUCAGCCCCAGCGCUUCCUCCCCCGGGCAGCGCUGCUGGGUUGGAGCUGGGGCGGGCAGGGCCCUCUGUGUCCCAGUGUCCCUGUGUCCCAGCCCCUGCUCCAGCAGCAGCACCCAGAGCAGGGUGCCCAGGCCCAUGGCCAGGCGGCUCCUGUAGAGCUGCAGGGAGGAGAGCCCACAGCCUCUGGGCAGCCUGUGCCAGUGCUCCGGCACCGCACAGCGCAGCGCUGCUCCUGGUGUGCAGGGGGAGCCUCCUGGGAUACAGUCUGUGCCCACGGCCUCCUGUCCUAGCACUGGGCAUCGCUUAA